RNAcentral lists this ribosomal RNA (620 nucleotides) under Alcaligenes phenolicus. RNAcentral's name for it is "bacterial SSU rRNA". It matches the Rfam family "Bacterial small subunit ribosomal RNA", at positions 74 to 687 of the family's 1533-position model. The record is from RNAcentral. Lineage: Bacteria; Pseudomonadati; Pseudomonadota; Betaproteobacteria; Burkholderiales; Alcaligenaceae.
GAGAGCUUGCUCUCUUGGCGGCGAGUGGCGGACGGGUGAGUAAUAUAUCGGAACGUGCCCAGUAGCGGGGGAUAACUACUCGAAAGAGUGGCUAAUACCGCAUACGCCCUACGGGGGAAAGGGGGGGAUCGCAAGACCUCUCACUAUUGGAGCGGCCGAUAUCGGAUUAGCUAGUUGGUGGGGUAAAGGCUCACCAAGGCAACGAUCCGUAGCUGGUUUGAGAGGACGACCAGCCACACUGGGACUGAGACACGGCCCAGACUCCUACGGGAGGCAGCAGUGGGGAAUUUUGGACAAUGGGGGAAACCCUGAUCCAGCCAUCCCGCGUGUAUGAUGAAGGCCUUCGGGUUGUAAAGUACUUUUGGCAGAGAAGAAAAGGUAUCUCCUAAUACGAGAUACUGCUGACGGUAUCUGCAGAAUAAGCACCGGCUAACUACGUGCCAGCAGCCGCGGUAAUACGUAGGGUGCAAGCGUUAAUCGGAAUUACUGGGCGUAAAGCGUGUGUAGGCGGUUCGGAAAGAAAGAUGUGAAAUCCCAGGGCUCAACCUUGGAACUGCAUUUUUAACUGCCGAGCUAGAGUAUGUCAGAGGGGGGUAGAAUUCCACGUGUAGCAGUGAAAU